Long non-coding RNA from Melospiza melodia melodia, 1093 nucleotides. RefSeq lists it as uncharacterized. The record is from RefSeq and is a predicted model, not a curated record. NCBI's taxonomy places the organism in Eukaryota, Metazoa, Chordata, Aves, Passeriformes, Passerellidae. The transcript is spliced from 3 exons.
GGGAAGCUGGAGCCCCGAGGAGAUGGGACCUCACAUAAACCAGGCAGGAGACAUGUCACCAAAAUGGAAUCAUUUCCCACCAGAACUCAUACUGAAACCCUAAUUAAUAUUGAGAAAUUUUCUUACUUGCAAAGUGACAUGAUGGCUGAAUUUCUGCCUUUGGUUGAUGCUCAGUGUCACCAGCAGGAGUCUGGCUGUGGAGAUGGUUUCAGUGUCACUGGGAGUGUCACCCUUGUGGAUGAUGUUUGCUGAGGGCCUGGGUGCAGCCUCACGUGCAGGUACCAAACCCAGCUCAGCCACUGAGGAUAUUUUGGGAUUGUGCUGUCACCCAGAGCCACUGGGCUGUGCUGCCUGCCCUGAGCCCUUGGGCUGGAGGUGUUGGCCAUGAACUCCAACCCUGCACUCCUGAGAGUUUGAACAGGCCAGGCCAGAGCGAGUCCCUGCUGUUCUGCAUAUAAGGGGGUGGAGGAAGGAAAUCUGGAGAGGAAGCUGAACUUCCUGUGCCAGAGAUUUUCUACUGGAGCCUUCCCUGAAUUCAAGAAUGUGCAGCCACAGCUUUAGAUGUGAAUCACUCAAAUUCGGACAUGCAGAUUUGAAGAAAGACCCUUCCACAUCCACACCUGUGGUUUGGGGCUCAUAAAGAACAAUCUGACUGAUUUUUGGACCUGGCAUUGCCUCUUCCAUCCCCCACCCCAUCUCCAGAUGGAUGAGAAACUCCUUUUAUUUUAGUUUCGUUUCUCUGAAUGCUGGUUCAGACUCAGAGGAGCCAGUUUGGGUGUCAGGAUUAACCACAGGUCCGUGGGUGAAUGGCUGCACAGAGUUACAAAGGGGAGAGGCACCAAGGAGCCAAAAGGAGCAGGCCUGAUGACAAAAACGGGAGGGGGCAGGAGAAGGGCUGUGUGUGACAGCCAUCAGUUGUUCAGACACGUGUACACACUUGCACUUUCAUGAUCUAUAAUUAUAAAUGGAUGAAGAAGUCACCAAACUAAUUCCAUAGAUGCUCUAAUUAUCCUGAUUUUGUUGUGCUAAUUGCAUUAAUGUGUGUUACCUGGUAUAAUGAACAUUGAUUAAAUCUUGGAGAUUUUGGGGUGUA